UUAAAUACAAAAAAUUUCUUUUAUUCUCUUCUUUGUUCUUAUAAACAGUAUUGAUAUUUAAUAUGAAAUCAUUAUCAUUAGAAUAAAAUAAAGGAAUGAGUUAAGAUAAAAUAACACACUGAUUCUUAUCUUUAUGUUUGUUUGACUGCAACAUGAAUAAUUGCAAUUUGUUAGGCGUUUCCCUGGCAACUCUACUCGAGUUAUACGCGACUUUUACUUUAGUAUAAAGUAAAAUUGCUUAAGUUCACUUUUGUCUUUUAAAUUAUUAUUUAAAUUAUUUCAAUCUUAUAUAUUCAAUCGUGUAUUCUUGAUCAAUUUUCUAUCAGAAACAUUUUUGAAGAAUUUCAUCGUUCAUUAGAUAAUUUGGUGAUUCAAUAAAAUCGAACAAAUAUCACAAGUAUUCAAUAAAUUAAUAAUAGAAUAAUGUAAAAAUGGCAAAGAUGUUUAUUGUUAUAGCAUAAUAGAAUUUAUCUUUUUUCAAGUUUGAAGGGUGUUCGACCUGUAAUUAUCGUGUUUAGAAAUGAUAUAAAUCUCGGAAUCACGAAUGAUAAUGAUGAUACAAUUGAUUUGAAAAAAAAAUCGGUCUAAAUUUUUGAUUAUUUAAAGUUUUUUAGCCAUAUGGAUAUUAAUUAUAGAGUAAAUAUCGGCAAAUGGUUGCCAUUUCCGAGUGAUAUUCUUGAGAAAUGGUUCGCAAACUCGUCGAUGCUUACAAAGAGAAUGGACAAUUUUGUGGAAAAUAUAGCGUUAAUUAUUCGAGAUAUUGCAGACGCUCAGACAUAUGAUAUAAAGAUAUACAAUGGAAUCGCAAACGAUUUAGAAGAGAUAAAGGAAGAAUAUAAAUCGAUCAGUACGACAAGUGUCAGUGCACAUCCAAUUUAUAAUUACAAAAUGAGACAUUUUUUGAUGAUGUUGAAACGAAAACUGAACGUCCUCGCGAGAUUUGUUCGCAACUUGAUUAACGAAAUCGUCGAUUGCAAGAGCGACGAGCUACUUAAGAUAAUUUUCAGGUUGGUGAACAUUUAUAACGAUAUACUGGAUAUAGAUAUCGAUGUCUCUAUGGAUGCUUCUACGAAUGUGUUCUGUAACAAUUGUCCUUAUAUGUUAGAACCGAUGAAGAAGAUAUCUGUUACACGAAUAUUGCAGAUACUGGCCAAAAACAAAGCCGAAGAAUCCUGCCAUGAACUCAUCGACUGCCUUUUAACAAAUUACGAACCUCAGGAGAAGACCGAUCCUUCUUCAACCAUUUCUGGUGAUGCUGAUGUUUCGGACAAUUCGAGUAUUGAAAUUUAUCGAGCUCUUACGAGACAUUUGACGCCACCGAUCGAGAGUUCUUCGUCGAGGACGGAACCACCGGAAGUGUCGAAUAUCGAAAAUAUUCAGACGUUGGUCAAUACUCAAGACAAGUACGUUCUUAGGCUGUUGAACGUUGCGCAAGAAAUUUCGCCUAAAUUGUUGGGCACAGAUGCUCUGAAGACUACCAAUGGUGAAACGAGGCUGAGACGUAGCGCGUUAAAGAAGGUGAAGAAUUAUUACCAAGAAGUCGCAUGGGGCGCUUUGUCGAGCAUUCUGGAUCACGUGGUCCUCUGGUGGUCUCCCGAGGCUCUCGCGACUCGUCACAGUCACGGGGCACAGCAAUUGAAGGACUGGCUCAGUCAAUUCAUCCAAAAAAAUCACGUGCCACAAACGGUGAGGCCAGCAUUGCAAAAUCUCUGCGAUGCUCUUCGUUGUCAUGCCACAAUCACCGAAUGGGAUCAAUUAUUUAGACUGGCCUACACCUCGGCUUUCAAGUGCCAGUCGAAAGCUUCCUCCACGGACGGGUCUGACACGGGCCAAAUGUUCGGGGAAUUGUUCCAAUUGCUCGUCAGAUUGAGCAACGAGUGCGAGGCAGGCGGUGAAUGGGUGAUAGGUGCCCCGUUGAUGGAGUUGCCACUGUCGGAACAGAUCGUUGUUCUUCAUCGGUUGGAUCAUUCGGUGCACACAGCGAGGCUUUGGAUAGUGCAGGAGGCGAAAAUCAUAGCGCAUACGUGGGAACUGGAUGUGUUCUUCCUUUUGGUAAAAGGUGACAUAGUUAAUUGUCUCGAGGAGCUUUCUUACUUAAAGCUUGCCGAUCACAUCAAUGCAUUAUCGACAGAUUCUGUGAGCGUCCAGGUAUACGUUUGCGCAAAAAUGAGGGCGAAAAUUGUAUCCGAGGUGAACGUGAACAUAGAUCUACUUCAGAAAUGUUCCACCAAGUGUACGGAUAUUCUGGCGAAGAUCUGCCGCGUGGUCAGCCUGGCAAAUUUGCAUAUGUGCUUUCCAAGGCCGAGUUAUUGGAGGAAAGGUGGCGACGUCGCCCCGGUGGCGGCUAGCCUCUACGUGCAGCCUUACUUCGAGAAAGUACUGCUCCCUGUAUUGGAAGUUAUCGAGGAUCCCGACACGUCGAACAUGAUCCUGAAAAUUAUGUGCGAAGCGUGGCUGGAUUACAUAUAUCUGCAUCGAAUUAAAUUUAGAACGUACGAGAUCAUCUUUUAAAAAACGAAGUGUUGCGAAGAUGCGAGGGGGUUGGACGAUUGCUUCUUCGACAUCCUGGCGAGGCUAUCUCCAUGCGGAAACGACUCGCUAGAAGAACAAACGAGCGUGGAUCGCCAGAAUCACCUGGAUUGGAACGCAUGCCGGCGGAAAUGUACGUGCCCAACCAGGAACAAUGGUUGGAGCUUCGCGCCUCGAAGAGAUACAAUUUUUGCUGUACCGAAUAUUGACCAAAUAAUAUUUCAACGAAUUUAUUAU
Molecule: unclassified non-coding RNA, 2766 nt
Filed under: Apis florea (little honeybee)
Lineage: Eukaryota; Metazoa; Arthropoda; Insecta; Hymenoptera; Apidae
Description: coiled-coil domain-containing protein 142, transcript variant X1
Source: RNAcentral